CGUUGAUUUUACACCUUCAAGACGUUAAAUGUGUAUUACCCGUUACGUUACGUAAUUAUCAACGAGCUGUACGUAACGUUACGAGAGGUAAACGACUAGACGUGGUGUAUUUCCGUGAUGUGAGACGUUAUAAGGGUGGGAAUGAAAUUUGUGUUCGAUGUCAAUUGGAACUUUUAUCCGAGUUGAAAUCCACAAUACCAGCAAUUCACCAUGAACACUUCAGUAUUGUCUGUGCUCGCACUUUGCUGCAUUGUCUCCCUUGCCGUGGCUGAUUAUGGCGCCUAUUAUACACCAUACUAUGGCGCCCAGUCGUCCGGAUAUGGUGACAACACAUUAUUGAUGUUCAUUGGAAUGCUGGCGAUCUUGACCCUUCUGUUCACCACCCUGACACAAAAUACCACCAACAUCAUCAACUUGACCGCUACGGCUUAGAAAAUUGGCUCGAAUUUUUGGCUGCACUGUGGUUGCAACAUUCUGCGUCACACGGCUAUUAUCAUGCAAAUUGUCAUACUGCAUUAUCAAACGAAAUAAAUAUUAUCAUACCUAUUUAUUGUCUAAAGUUAUGCAUUCAUUGUACAUUAGAUUAAUAAAUUUAUUUAUUCUCUAAA
This is a long non-coding RNA of Ruditapes philippinarum (Manila clam), 608 nucleotides long. RefSeq lists it as uncharacterized. The record is from RefSeq and is a predicted model, not a curated record. The transcript has 4 exons. NCBI's taxonomy places the organism in Eukaryota, Metazoa, Mollusca, Bivalvia, Venerida, Veneridae.